RNAcentral lists this ribosomal RNA (335 nucleotides) under uncultured Planctomycetales bacterium. RNAcentral describes it as "bacterial SSU rRNA". It matches the Rfam family "Bacterial small subunit ribosomal RNA", at positions 473 to 806 of the family's 1533-position model. Lineage: Bacteria; Pseudomonadati; Planctomycetota; Planctomycetia; Planctomycetales. The record is from RNAcentral.
CUAAGGCUCCAGAGGAAGCCACGGCUAACUCUGUGCCAGCAGCCGCGGUAAUACAGAGGCGGCAGGCGUUGUUCGGAAUUAUUGGGCGUAAAGAGCACGUAGGCGGCCUUGCAAGUCAGUUGUGAAGGCCUUCCGCCUAGCGGAAGAAUGCCAGCUGAUACUACAGGGCUUGAGUACGGGAGGGGAGAGUGGAACUUCUGGUGGAGCGGUGAAAUGCGUAGAUAUCAGAAGGAACGCCGGCGGCGAAAGCGACUCUCUGGCCCGAAACUGACGCCGAGUGUGCGAAAGCUAGGGGAGCAAACGGGAUUAGAUACCCCGGUAGUCCUAGCCGUAAA